This 446-nucleotide ribosomal RNA is filed under the name uncultured bacterium. RNAcentral's name for it is "bacterial SSU rRNA". It matches the Rfam family "Bacterial small subunit ribosomal RNA", at positions 331 to 793 of the family's 1533-position model. The record is from RNAcentral.
CCAGACUCCUACGGGAGGCAGCAGUGGGGAAUAUUGCACAAUGGGGGAAACCCUGAUGCAGCGACGCCGCGUGAGUGAAGAAGUAUUUCGGUAUGUAAAGCUCUAUCAGCAGGGAAGAGAAUGACGGUACCUGAGUAAGAAGCCCCGGCUAACUACGUGCCAGCAGCCGCGGUAAUACGUAGGGGGCAAGCGUUAUCCGGAUUUACUGGGUGUAAAGGGAGCGUAGACGGCGAAGAAAGUCUGAAGUGAAAGCCCGCGGCUCAACCGCGGGACUGCUUUGGAAACUGUGUUGCUGGAGUGCUGGAGAGGCAAGCGGAAUUCCUAGUGUAGCGGUGAAAUGCGUAGAUAUUAGGAAGAACACCAGUGGCGAAGGCGGCUUGCUGGACAGUAACUGACGUUGAGGCUCGAAAGCGUGGGGAGCAAACAGGAUUAGAUACCCCAGUAUG